Long non-coding RNA from Tympanuchus pallidicinctus (lesser prairie-chicken), 4798 nucleotides. RefSeq lists it as uncharacterized. The transcript has 3 exons. The record is from RefSeq and is a predicted model, not a curated record. NCBI's taxonomy places the organism in Eukaryota, Metazoa, Chordata, Aves, Galliformes, Phasianidae.
CUCCUCCGCAGCGUCACUCUGCCGGGAAGGGAGGGAGCGCGAUGUGUCUGCCGGAGGCACCGUGCUGAGCGGCGAGAGAUCCUCCGAGCAACCCCAGUGUUUUCAGCAUUUAAUGACUUGUUUGGGUGAGAUUGUAACGUGUGCUGGAAACGGUGCUGCAAGGACACACGUGGAGCCUCCAGCAGUGACUGAGUUAGCUGUGUAAUGAACCUCUCAGUGCUGUGGCUUCCUGGCUCCCCUGGGAUCUGGGUCAGUGUAACUAUGGGGGUGAGUCCUGAAAGGUCUUCGUUCUUCUGAGCACCAUUUAGGUAUUGCUUCCAACCCAAGCCAUCUUAUGAUUCUGUAGUGACUCGGUGGUUGUUCUGGCCACACCAUGGUCCACUUUUGCCAUAGCACAGCCAAUGCUGCUACAAAUCACUUGCAAUUCAGUGCUUGGCCCUAUCAGCUAACACUCUCCUGGUGACUCGGACCGUGCUGUUAGCUUUAACAACCAUCAGCCAAGCUGCAAACAAGCAGGAUGCAAAACGCGAAGAGUGACCAGUGCUUGGGGUUUGGUUGUGCAGUGGACUGCUGGAGCCUUUCCCUAUUUCCAGCCUGGUAAAUAAUGCAUGAUCUGUCUCUUACACGCUUACUCAACCCCUACCACGAUAAAAAUCAACCGAGGGAAAUGAGAGUGGAAAGGAGCAUUAUCUUUCCCAGUAAUGCAACCAUUUACAAUCUGUUACGAUCCUUCUGCUGAGGAGUAAGUGGUGGUGGAGGAGUUUGUUUCUAUUAGCAGACCAGAAACCAUAAAUCACGGGCUGUAGUUUUCCAAUGUCACGUACAAGCAGCCUUAAAGCCCUUAAAAAAAAAAGAGAGAUAGAGAGGGAAAAUGGAAAUAACUUCUGUAUCAAUCUAUCUAUCUAUCUAUCUCUAUAUAUUUUUAAUUGCUCUGGGGUAAUCUAGGCACACUUAUUUUGUGUGCCUAAGUAUCAAAUACCAACGACUGUAUUUUCCAAUGUAGGAUCUUAAAGCUAAGCAACAGACACCUAAAGAGAGGGUGCUGCCUUUGGUGCUUAAAAGCAGAUCUGAAUGCCUGAGAAAAUUGGCCCAAGUGCAAACUAGUGUGGAAAAUCUUUUAUUUCUUAAGAACGUGUUUGUCAUAUUUAAAACUGAGCUCUAGCGUGGCAUUUCUUCGGGUCUGUUCUCACCAGCUGAAACAGAAGCAUCUAAAGAGCAUCCAGAAAAGUCUGCGGAUCCAAUGGAAAUGGGAGCUUCUGUGCAUUUCUUCAAUGCUCUGCCUAAAUCCUCUACUCUCCAGUGGUGAGGAGCCUCUUGGUUGGCCACAGCACCAUUCCAAGGAGGGAAGAAUCACCCUGCCCUUCUGCCAGCCUGCUCAGCUGUGGCUGCUGUGGUUGGGAGUUUUGGUCAGGUAGGACUGUUUUGGGAAAGGGGUGAACCCUCAGCUAGGAAUCUUUCCCUGGCAUCCCCCUGCUCUCCCUUAUAUUCAUGUGGAAUGAGAGGAGAAUCAUGAAGGGAAGCUUUGCAGAUCAUCGUGGGGUUUCUGACUGGUGGAGCUGUCUGUACUUUUAUUGUUUCUUGUUUCUCGUACAACAUUCUGGUGUUGGAAACUGCUCCUCCUGUUCUGCGUGGUCUGUCAGUUUCUGCUUCUCUCAGUGAAUUACAGCUGGGGCAGGAAAACUGCAGGAAAUACAAAGCUCAUAGAAAUACCUUCAACCUCAGACCCUUGAAAUGUCCGCAUCUUAAUACACCACAACUGGGAAAAGAGAACUUCACCUGACCUUUAAGUUUGCAGAGGAAAGCAGUCACCGAGUUGUUCCUUUGGAGGUGAUGGGUAAGGUGGUGUUACUCAGUGACAUUCCCUGUCUGUAGAGAGGCUAAUGUAUUCCUGUUGCAUUUAAUUAGUUUUGAACCUAUGUACGUGAGAAAUGCAGCACAGUGCUGUUAUUAAAAUUCAUGCUUUAUAAUAAUUAGCACAGUUUGUUCAGUCCCUGAGAACUGCCAGCAAAAGGACUAUUAACUUUGGUUAAUGGUGGAAAUGUCUCACCCGAGCUAUCGUUUAACCCUUUGCUGCAGAAAAGUUGUGGUUGUUCUCAAAGGCUACAUCAGGCCAGCCAUUAAUUACCAAAACUCAUUAAUUGUAGCAGAUUGACUGCUAUAAAAUCUCUUCAAUUGAACUUUUGCGAUGAUCAGUAGGGAAAUGGUGACAAACACAGGCAGAGCUGUCCCUUUUAAAUUGCUGGUGUUUUAUUUCUCAUCGAAUCCCUAUCUGAAAUAGGGGAAAAUGACCAAUAAGGUUCAGAAACUCUUUCUUCAGAAGAUCAAAGUCAUAAAACUCUGUUAAUUCCCUUUGAGACAGAAAUAGGAAUUACAGUUAAGAGACUUCACCCCGUGACUUUUUCUUUCAUGUUAAAACUCCCUAAUUGUUCCCCAAAUGCAUCUCCCAUUAUAUUCCACUGUAAACUAAUUUGCUAAGCCAUCAGGAACCCGAGAAAAAUCUCUUAGUUAAAAACAGCCUCUUGCAAGAGCAGCUGAAAAGCACAAAUUCUGAAGAACCACAGUGAUGCCCUGUUCCUCGUUCCCAGCAAACAUGCCUUUGGUCUUAUUUUUGGUAAACCUCGGCCUUGUCUUACUGUUCAGAACUCACAGUUGAGUGUUUACAGGCAGAAUUUCAGCUGAGUUUUCUGAAUUUCUUGAAGGCAAUUUUACCUGGAUUUUUUAAAUCUCUUUGGUGCCAGAUUCUUCCUAGAGCAAAUCUCAUUGCUUUGCUUUGUCUCACAGUGCUGGGUGGCUGCAAUGUCACCAGUCUAUGUGGCACCACUCCUGCAGGUAAGCACUUAUCUGACAAAGUUCCCUUAGAAGCAGUUUUGCCUUCGUUUUUUUUAAGAAAAAAUUUGCAUGGUGCAAACAUUGCAUCCGUAUUCUUAAUGGCUAUUUAGAAAGCGAAGUGUUUGGGUGUGCUGGAAAAUAGCCCUGGGCUCCUAUUUGCCACGUGUAGUUGUGUGAAGAUCUGAGAAAAAUCACCAUCUGGUGUCUCCAGACUCAGAUCCUCAGAAAAUGCACAGAAUACUGAAAUGAAGGGAAUUCGGGCAUUUCUUCUGAUGAUUUGUUCAACUCUUUUUGUCUCUCCCAGAGGUGCGCGGAGGACGGAUACACAAAAGAGUGGGGAGGGCUGUGUACUGUCUGCAUGUGUUCUGCAGAUGAUAAUAGGGAAGGUCAGCAGGAAGAAAGGAUAGCCUUUGAAAAAGUAUUCUGCCCUCCAAUUUUAAAAUACGUUUGAGCUCUUACUUUGUAAAAGAAGGAACUGGUGACCUGGUGGCUUAAUAGUAUUGCCUAUUCAAAGGCAAUCGGUUCUUGGAAUAAUUUUGAGGCAUUUGGAGCCAUUUUCUAGUAGUAAAAUUUCAGAUUUGAUCUUUUAUUUCCCACAUUGGCCACAAGAGAGGAUUCGCUUUGCUGUGCCGGGGUACAAAUCAUUUUCAUGUUAGAAAACCAAAAGCCAUUAGCUGUGCUUUUACUUGGUGCAGAAGACAGAAGCAUUAGUACUGUAACACAGCAUGUUUUCUGCUGAGUGCAUGGUGUGAUGGCUGGAAAUCCUGAAAUUUGGAGCUAAAGAGCACCUCAUCCCACAUCUCGGAGGGUAUUCGCACUGAGAUCUGAGCAACUCCCAGUGGGCAACUGCCAGCAUUUCAGCUUUUAUUUUGGUCACUGGAUUGAAUGGACCCUGAGAAACACUGGGGGAAAAAAAAAACAACAAAAAAACAAUCCUAAGCCUAGAAGAAGCUGCAGAUGCUUCAAGCUGGGAUGGGAAAUUAAUAGAAUUAUUAUUCAUUUCAAUGGUGGCUCUUUAAAUGUGGGGCAACUCACUGAUUCUGUGCCUGCUCUGUGAUCAUUUUCCUUUUUGUUAGCGGCAUUUCCUGCCAAAAUUAAUCAGUCACUCCUUGAUGCUGGGCCAGUUCCCUGAGUUACACGUAGUCAGUCAGGUGGCGAUCCAAAUGCUUGCCCACUGCUCCACUGUUUUCUUUCUCUCUGACUCUGUCAGAAGCAUAAGACACAUCCAUGGAUCAUGGGAGAGAGAAGCAGGUUUGUUCUCCUUUAUCUCUGUGCUGGGGAAAAAAAAAAAGCCUCUCAACUCUAUAAUCAUCUUUCUAUAAAAUAAAUUACUUUAUCUGUCUUAAUACUGUCACUCUUCAGUCCUCCAGUGAUCUACUUCUUCCAUCUGUGUGCAUAACUGAAAUCUUCUCUCCACCUACUCUAUGUACUUCCAAGUGUCAAAAUCCAGCCUCAAUCAUUGCUGUCAUCAGUCUCUCGUUCUUGAUGGGAUAGCGGGUGAAACGUCACUGUUCCUCAGAUCUCCAUGGGUAAUUUCUAUGCUCGAUUUGCAGAGUUGAGGUAAACUAUCAGAAAUACGACCUAAAAUAGUGUUUUGUUUUGUUUUAUUUUGUCAGUUGAAGUUUUCCACUUUCUGCUCCUGAAGCAAGUCGGUAUUUCUGUUGCUUUCUGGGUCUUGUUUCCAUCAUGACUCUUGCUGCAUAAUUUCAAGAGAUAACCACAUUACCCAAAUCCUAUGAAAGUUGACUUACUGCUUCGUAUUGAGUAAUUCUGCAUGACUCACACUUUGUUCUCUGAGACAAUUUUUACGCUCGUUUGCAGAAUACUGUUGAGACAAUUGAGCUUACUUACCAAAAUCACCAUCUUUUGUAACGAGACAGUACAAUCACUUUCCUCUUUCACAAAGCCAUUCCAAGAACAAUGGGCCGACCCAUAAAUAACAACCAUUUGUUUUUGCUUAGAAUACGGA